This is a non-coding RNA of Carica papaya (papaya), 1353 nucleotides long. Lineage: Eukaryota; Viridiplantae; Streptophyta; Magnoliopsida; Brassicales; Caricaceae. The record is from RefSeq and is a predicted model, not a curated record.
GGUAUAGAGACUAAUUUUACAAACAUUAAAGAUAGAUGAGUUCAUAUUUUUGACUUUAUUUUGGUAGGUCAUGACAUUAAUGAUUGAGAUGGUUUUGAGAUCAUCAUGCACAAUUUGAUUGAUUUGCAACUAUGUUUUGUAUAGGGGCGGUACUCUUUUGAUACCUUUGUGUAUAAUAACACUUUUUUUUUUUAUUUUAAAAAAAUAGAUCCCCAACAAUAGAAAUUAUUCUAUACUGAUGAUUAAAUCUUAUGCACAAGAUUGUGAAAUUCUUCUUGGAAAAACUUUUAUGGUGGCUAUCUAUGCUACAAAAUGCUGUCACAACUCUAUAUUAAAGCUAUGAGUGUGUAUAUGGUGGCUCUCACAUCUUUUCCUUAUAUAGCCUCCAAAAAUAGGGUUCUGAAAACUAUUACACUGGCUUUCCCAUGAAAUUGCACUUAGCAGAGUUUUCCUUGCUGUAGUGAUGAACACAGUGUAAUUCCAUUGAUUUAUGCUGCAGCUGGAAAUUUUUUUCCCCCACUGCAGUGGCCGCAUUCUGCAUGCUUAUGAGUUGAUUUUGGAGCCAAUAACAACUGAGUUUUGGCCUGGGCUCUUCAUCAAAGUUGUAGUCUUAUAUAGUUUGAGAGCCGAAAUGAAUUUAGAUUUGGGCAUGUGAAUCCAAUCUUGAAAGCUCAGGACAUCUACAUGAAGUUAGAAGGCUGCUUUUAUUUGGGAACUCGAAGGAUGUAAAACCUUCAUUGAACCUUCAAAGGAUAUUGGAUUUAGUGUGGAGUAUACAGAUCCUUCUGGUAGAAAAACUCCUGUGUUACCUUAUGGUCGGUAUGAGUCUGAUCAAGGAAAUUUCUGCACGUGCAUGGCUGGAAACUACAAACUCAUAUGGGAUAAUUCAUAUUCAACUUUCUUCAAGAAGGCACUGCGCUAUAAAGUAGACUGCAUACCUCCAGUGGUUGAACCAGUGCAGUCAAUGGACAUGGAAGGAUGAAAGACCUACAACUUGUGUGACAAUUAGCGAUGGUUCAUCAUCAAGUGAUUUUACCUCCCAGAUUCAUUUGUAUUAUUAAUCGUUUCCUAGUUUCUAGUUUCAACAUUCUGAAAUUUGUUUUGAUUUUUAUCAUUCAGAAAGGCAGUCUCAGCAUCGUGUACAAGUAUCAUCUGUAUAUGUCCUGGAAAUCUGUAACAUAUGUUACUAUCAUGCAAAAUGCCCCAUGGCAAUUUGGUCAUUCAGUCUUUUCUUAUACCAAAUUAGAGGUGGGAGCUAUAUAAGUAAGAUUAUUUUCACUACGGAUUUGGGAAUUGUAUUUUAAAGGUUUAUCUUUAUUGGAAAACAAAGAUCUGUUUGGAUGUUGAACCAAA